UACGUAGGUGGCAAGCGUUGUCCGGAUUUACUGGGCGUAAAGGGCGUGCAGGCGGUUUGUUAAGUGCAGGGUGAAAGCUCCCGGCUCAACUGGGAGAGGUCCUUGCAUACUGGCAGACUUGAGGGAGGCAGAGGAAAGUGGAAUUCCCGGUGUAGUGGUGAUAUGCGUAGAUAUCGGGAGGAACACCUGUGGCGAAGGCGGCUUUCUGGGCCUUACCUGACGCUGAGACGCGAAAGCGUGGGGAGCGAACCGG
RNAcentral lists this ribosomal RNA (253 nucleotides) under uncultured bacterium. RNAcentral describes it as "partial 16S ribosomal RNA". It matches the Rfam family "Bacterial small subunit ribosomal RNA", at positions 524 to 776 of the family's 1533-position model. The record is from RNAcentral.